AUACAUAGAAACUCUGGCUUUGCUCAAAGUCAGUGACAUGUCCUUAGUAAAGGUUGUGUGUGUGUUGGAGCGACAGUGUGUGUAGUAUGUAGGGCUCUGUGAGGUGUGUGUGUUGGAGCGACAGUGUGUGUAGUGUGCAGGGCUCUGUGAGGUGUGUGUGUUGGAGCGACAGUGUGUGUAGUGUGUAGGGCUCUGUGAGGUGUGUGUGUUGGAGUGACAGUGUGUGUAGUGUGUAGGGCUCUGUGAGGUGUGUGUGUUGGAGUGACAGUGUGUGUAGUGUGUAGGGCUCUGUGAGGUGUGUGUGUUGGAGCGACAGUGUGUGUAGUGUGUAGGGCUCUGUGAGGUGUGUGUGUUGGAGCGACAGUGUGUGUAGUGUGUAGGGCUCUGUGAGGUGUGUGUGUUGGAGCGACAGUGUGUGUAGUGUGCAGGGCUCUGUGAGGUGUGUGUGUUGGAGCGACAGUGUGUGUAGUGUGUAGGGCUCUGUGAGGUGUGUGUGUUGGAGCGACAGUGUGUGUAGUGUGUAGGGCUCUGUGAGGUGUGUGUGUUGGAGCGACAGUGUGUGUAGUGUGUAGGGCUCUGUGAGGUGUGUGUGUUGGAGCGACAGUGUGUGUAGUGUGUAGGGCUCUGUGAGGCUGCUUAGAGACAGUACAAAAAUAAGAACAAAGGACAACAUAGAUAGUCUGUGUAGCCACUGUGUUAGCUAUUUGGCAGUCUGAUGGCAUGAGGGCAGAAGAAUGCUGGGCAGAUGCUGGAUACUGCAGUAGUCCCUGGACAAGACAUGCACUGACUACACUACUUAAUAUUGGCAUCUGCCAAGUCACUCGAGAAGUCACUCAUAAAAUGUCAUUUAUGUAUGGGGAAUAGGACAGUUUAGUACCCAAAGGUCCCAAUACACGGGGCAAUAACAUGCAUUUAGA
This is a long non-coding RNA of Oncorhynchus keta (chum salmon), 917 nucleotides long. RefSeq lists it as uncharacterized. The transcript has 3 exons. Lineage: Eukaryota; Metazoa; Chordata; Actinopteri; Salmoniformes; Salmonidae. The record is from RefSeq and is a predicted model, not a curated record.